UACAGAGGGUGCGAGCUUUAAUCGGAAUUACUGGGCGUAAAGCGCACGUAGGUGGCGACGUAAGUCGGGUGUGAAAGCCCCGGGCUCAACCUGGGAAUUGCAUUCGAGACUGCAUUGCUGGAGUACGGAAGAGGAGGGCGGAAUUCCCGGUGUAGCGGUGAAGUGCGUAGAGAUCGGGAGGAACAUCAGUGGCGAAGGCGGCCCUCUGGUCCAGUACUGACAAUCAAGUGCGAAAGCGUGGGGAGCAAACAGG
This 253-nucleotide ribosomal RNA is filed under the name uncultured bacterium. RNAcentral describes it as "partial 16S ribosomal RNA". It matches the Rfam family "Bacterial small subunit ribosomal RNA", at positions 524 to 776 of the family's 1533-position model. The record is from RNAcentral.